AUGACCACAGUUCUCACUCAGGGUGAGUUCCUCAUUCUGAGAAUGAAUCUUUCCUGGUUAUUUCUGAAGUCUGCUACCGUAAGGAACUCUCACCAUUAUCUUAGUCUCUCUUGCUACGCUGUCACACAUUAUUGUCCUUCCUGUACCACCUCUGCUAUUUUAGGUUUUGGGGCCACACUGACAUAUAAUUUAGAGUUAAAUUCUCUCUACUACUUUCAGUACAGGUGUAAUGUAUGGGUAGCUGCUUGCCCCUUACUCUCCUCUUCCCAUUAACCCAUUUUGCUUAAUAUUUUGUAUGGUUUUAAGGAAAAGUACUUAAAAGAUUGAAACUAAGCAGUCACCUUGCUCCUGCGAAAUGUUUCCUUGUCUCCUUGACCAUUGGUGUUCCUAGGAUUCUGUCCUUGACCAUUCACAUACUGUGUAUGUUCUCUAUAAGCAAUCACAUAACAUUCCACCUAUCUUCUGCAGCAGUUAUAGUCUGACAGCUGACAGAUUGCCAUUUCCAUUCUAGGCUGUUCUGAGCUCCCUGUUUAUGUAUGCAGUUGCCUAAUGGAUAUAUUUGCCUGCAUGUUCCUUAGAAACCUGACACUCUGAAUGUCCAGAUCAAACUUGAUCUCCUUCUUCUUGCAGGUUGUUUCUAGGCAACCCACACUCUCAUGUUUAUCUCUGUGUACAUUACUAUUUAAGUCAUGCUCUGAGCCUUCCAUCUGCCGUACCCCAGUACAAGUUGGUGACUGUGCUUUUUCACCAUGCAUAGUAGAUAGAGUGUAUAAGUAGUAACUUGUAUUUUUUAGGAUUUUGCUUUUUUUUUUUAAAGUAAUUUCAACUUUAUAGAAAAGCUGCAUGUACCCUUUCUAGAGAAGAGUGCAAUGUACAGAGAAGUCCCAUAUACACUUUACCCAAAUUCACCAUUUACUUUUUAAAUUGCCUUAUUUUUCCUUCUCUAAUUCUCCAGAAAUGUGUAGGUUCUUUUGCACUGAGACUAAGUUGUAUACUGCUCCCUUUAUCUAUAAAUACUUCAGCAUAAAUUUUCUAAGAACAAGGACAUUCUUAUACAUCAUCAUGGUAAUCAAAAUCAGAAAAUAUAAUAUUAAUACUAUUAUUUCAAAGUCUAUAUUCAGAUUUUUGUCUAUCGUCCCAAUAAUGUUCAUAACUCUUUGUUGUUGUUUUGAAUGUGUGGGUGAACAUAUUUAUGGGACAUUUUUAAUAUAUAGUUUCAUUUAGAGUAUAUUGCAAUCAAAUAUUAGGAAUCCAGGAACACUUUUUCAGUUUUUGUUCCUAAAUACUGUUAAGAACAACUUUAUCCAUGUGACUUAGUUGUGAUAGGCAUAUGUUGUUCUAGAUAAUGAAUAUUAAAUUUCAUCCAAGAGUCAGGGUCACAGUUAAAAUCAUACUUAGGAACCUACGCAGAAGUGUGGUGCUAGAGAACAGUAGCAGCCAGUCAGGUAAGAUGUGAACAGCUUUUCUUAUGUAAGUCA
Molecule: long non-coding RNA, 1478 nt
Filed under: Capra hircus (goat)
Lineage: Eukaryota; Metazoa; Chordata; Mammalia; Artiodactyla; Bovidae
Description: lncRNA (ENSCHIG00010024302.1)
Source: RNAcentral